This 254-nucleotide ribosomal RNA is filed under the name uncultured bacterium. RNAcentral's name for it is "partial 16S ribosomal RNA". It matches the Rfam family "Bacterial small subunit ribosomal RNA", at positions 524 to 776 of the family's 1533-position model. The record is from RNAcentral.
UACAGAGGGGGCAAGCGUUGUUCGGAAUUACUGGGCGUAAAGGGCGCGUAGGCGGCCACUGCAAGUCAGUUGUGAAAUCUCCGGGCUUAACUCGGAAAGGUCAACUGAUACUGCAGGGCUAGAGUGCAGAAGGGGCAACUGGAAUUCUCGGUGUAGCGGUGAAAUGCGUAGAUAUCGAGAGGAACACCUGCGGCGAAGGCGGGUUGCUGGGCUGACACUGACGCUGAAGCGCGAAAGCCAGGGGAGCGAACGGG